Nicotiana tabacum (common tobacco) is the source of this 758-nucleotide non-coding RNA. Lineage: Eukaryota; Viridiplantae; Streptophyta; Magnoliopsida; Solanales; Solanaceae. The record is from RefSeq and is a predicted model, not a curated record.
CAGACUAAUGGGCCGUACCUGCUUACCCAUUUUCCCCUUUCUAUUUUUCUAACCCUAGACUGCUUUGCUGUUGCUGAUUCACGACUACAAUAGCAGAGGGCGACAACGACUUCACGACCUCGGCGAGCGGCAACGACGGCUCCUCUCCUCGGCAUUGUUGACCUUCAUUCAGGGAUGGUGUAAUACCGAAAUCGUAUCGAAUCGUACCGAACCAAAUAAGAAAAUACAGAACUGUACCGAACUACUUUGGUACGGUAUUUGAUAUGCACAAUUGAUAUACCGAAUGCCGAAGUACCAAACCGUAAUUCAUAAAUAUCGUACCGAAUUCCCACCCCUACUAUCUGUAUACGGGUAACCUCGGGGUCAACAUAUACCUCGAGUUCUCGAUGAGUCAAACGAAGUAAGAAGUAUGAAUGUAUGAGAUAGAGACUGCAUUUGAGAAUUCUUUGAAUCGAGGCCGGAAUGAGGUGCUCGCCGCCUGGCCUAACAAGACAACACCCCCGAACGAGCUCAAGACCUCAGAAAGCACUACAAACGGUUGCACACGACUAACAGAGGGCCGUGAUCGCACUCAACCGAGUAUUACGGCGUGGAUCUCACCCGACGUCGAUAGCUUAUCAGUGAUUGAUGUACAAGGAGGAUUUUUACCUUUUUUAGAAUUCUGGUAAAAUUCCCCUACUAUAUAAAGGGGAAGUUUCUUAUUCAAUAGACACAUUGUAUCACGAAAGAUUCUUAUUUUAAUCAUAGUUCUUCAUACA